Long non-coding RNA from Gasterosteus aculeatus aculeatus (three-spined stickleback), 4630 nucleotides. The record is from Ensembl. NCBI's taxonomy places the organism in Eukaryota, Metazoa, Chordata, Actinopteri, Perciformes, Gasterosteidae.
AUAUAUAUAUAUAUUAUGGGGGUAAAAUGUUGAAGUUUGUACUUCUCAAAACAAAUCACAAGCAUCUUGGCUACGCAGUAAAGUGAGUGAGUCCAAUUAUGAUUUGGGGUAAUAUGACCAAAUAUACUAAAACAUAACAAACACUGAAGCCCUCUGGGACAAAUGUUUCAUUUGAGAUUUUAGGCUGUACAAAAAAAUGAUUUCAAUCGAACACCUUUGUUUUUCUGAGGGUUAUGAUUCAUUAUUCCUCCUUUUUCAAGUGUUUUCCCACAACAGCCAGCAACCUGAUUCAUUUAACAUUUGUUUCCUGUAAAGAGGAAAGUUUAUUUUGAAAGGCCUGUUUGCGUGUAACAGUGUGAGGUACAAACGUUGGAUAAAGAAAGCCUGUCUCAAGUCUCAUGUCUUACUCAUCCAUCCACCACAAAUACUUUUAUUAAAGGUAUAUGUGAGGCAUCAAACGCAAUCUUGAUGCAGCUGAAAAAACACUCACUGGAAAGCUAUUUGACAAUGUAGUUCUGUGGUAUGAGAAUGUGUUUUUUAGGAGACCAGAGUCUGACGGAUGGAAUUCACUUGUCACGUUAGCCGUUUAAAACACUUCAUGCCUGAAAUCGACAGAACAUUUCAUUACAGUGAGCAUAGUUCUUGCAAUAAACAAUGCCAGAUAAUGCUCUAAGCUCUUAUUCCACCCUCAGACUGCACCCUCUCCAAUUAGAGCCCUCUCAGCAUGUUGUUAUUGGCACGUAACUGCUGCAGAUUUCUAUCCCAGCUUGGCUAAUUGAAUAAGCAUGAGGGCAUCGUAGCGAUCAAUUCACUGGGUUAUGUUAUGGUUAAUGUAGUACUGAUUUAAUAUCCAUUAUUGGAAAAACCUGGGAGAUUUGGAGAUAAUACAACUUGAAGUCAACAGCAAAAAAAGGGGGGGUGGGGGGGGGGGGGGGUUGUUCUAUGAAGACACAAAGAAAUCAACAGAUGUGCAGCGUCUGCAAACCACAGACUUCUUAGAAAAUGUGAUCCCUCCAAUCAAAUGCCUUAAUGCAGAACAGCAGCAGACUGGGACACAAUAAACAUGUAUGUAUGAUCCACAUACCCAGAGGAACAAAAAGCUGCUCGUUGUGUUUGUGAAACAGGGAGAAAAACGGCAUUCUGGCUUCUGCGUAGAAGGAAACAUAUUCAACGUAUCCUCAAACGGUUUCAUUACAUGUGUCAUUUUUAAAAGUCAAGCCACAGCUACUGAAAAGCCAGGUCAAGAAAAACCUCCUCCUUUGUCUUAGAAUCAAACAAAUCGAUAUAUCCUAUGAGUCAAAGACACGAACGGAAUAAGUCAACAUUGACUUCUGCUUUCACACCGGAUAUAAAAGUCUGUUUCAUCCAUUGUGACUGAUUAGAAAAAGAUGCUCUUUAGUUGUACGGGAAUGUGUCUGUUAGGAGAAACAAAGUACUGGUGCCUUGAACUUAAGUACAUGAGUUUUACGCAGUUAUAUACAUAAUCAGUACUUACGUAUAACAUUUCUCAAGCAAAUAUCUAAGUAUUUUAGAUCAUCCAAAAGCAGAUCUAGUACUUUACAUGAGCUUUGCCUUUACCUACUAACUAACUCCAAUAUUGACCUUUGACCUAUCCAAGUGUUUUAUGACAUGCUGAAUACCAAUGUUUGGAGGCCUGGUUUCUCAGUAUUAAGGAGUGAAGGACUGGAUGUAACAGCGGUAGUUUAUUCUGUAUAUUUACACCUGCAGCAGAAUACACAUCCACUCAGUCAGAGGGAUCAGUCGGGAAUUUGGCCGGCUAAUUGGGUCUUAACUUUCCAGAUAAAGAGAGAGAGAGAGAAAGGAGAAUAGUCCUGGCAGACUUUAGCUCGAGUAAGAAGGGAACAGGGGGUUAAACCAGUUGGUUCUGAACUCUAUUUGCCUUAAUUUCCUCUGCAGAGAAAAGGAAGAAAGAUUAAUGAAAUAUCCUCAAAUCCAUCCUGUUUCAUUUCUAUUAAAUCAGCAGUGAAAUGCAGAGGUCCUACCCGGGUGCAGGAGGGGGGGCCGUGGGAUAAAGUUUCCCAGUGUUUCUUUAGAGACCCAGGCUACUUUUCUGCUCGUGACCGAUGAUUUUUUGAAAAAUUCAAUUGUUGCUGGAGUCUCUAUAUCAAGUUGCGCCUGGACUCCCCUUUAGACUCAAUUAUUUCAUUAUGCUGGGCCUCAUACAAUAUUUGGGAUAAAUAAGAGGCAUUUUUCUCUUUUACUGUCUGACCGGCAGUGAAGAAAAACAAGCCUUUUUUCUUAAUUCUCCUGGUGAUGGCAGCUGUUUCAACCAACUAGGACAACCUUUAAACCCGGCCAGUAAGUGCUGCUUCCACUAAGUAGGUGUAGUGUCAAUACAAAUGCAAACGGCAGACUCCUCGGUGGAGUCCAUUGAAAAACAGUGAGACGAGCCGGUUGGAGCCCGCCGAGCGGCCUAAUCCCAUCUCAAUCAGAAUGGACUCAUUAGGAGCUCUGUAAUUAAUCCGACAAUAGAGGAGGCCGGGGAACAAAUGUCUCCGCUGUAGCUGUUACACUGGCAGCUGUGUGUGUGUGUGUGUGUGUGUGUGUGUUUGUUGGGGUGUGUUGGGGGAUCUGGCCCAAUGAGAAAGUAAGGAAGGUUUAAAUGAUUAUUUCUUAUUAAUACUGGAUCAAAUGUAUGCGUAACCCCCCAGGGAGCGGAAACGUGCGCUUCACUUCUUCUUCAGUGUCUUUUAGCUCAUUGUUCAUGUUUUUGGUCAAAUAUACUGAUUUCGUUUAAUUGAUGACGUGUCCCUCUUUUAUUUCUUCAGUGAAAUGUUACACAACAGUUGAGAAAAUACGUUCUCUUCUUCAGAAAAAACAAUUGAUUUAAAAUCAGAGCUGGGCAAUGAUUUCAAUUUUUAAUUGCAUGAUUUUUUCACAAAAAAACAUAAUUCAUUAAAAGUACUGUAUUCAGCACCUUUAUUCAUUCAAAUACUUCAAAUGAUGUGUUUUUUAAAGCAACAUUCCCAUUACACACUAGCAAUUAUAAUAUUUCUUGUAAAUCUCAAAGUAAAAAUGUAUUUGAUCAAAUAAAAAAAAAAACCUGAGCUAGAGUCCAACACGGCUGAGCACACACACACACACACACACACACACACACACACUCACUCCCAGCAGCAGACGGAGCGCUUGUUAGAGAACGCGUCGGUGUCUUAGCCAGCUGUUAAAUGACUACAUCCUGUUUCUGACCCGUUUUGCUGAUGAUUGUUAUUAUGAAUUCAGAAGGUCGGAGGCCGAUCACUGAGGAGAAACCUCUGGCCCACCAGGCCUUGUUAGAACUGGAGGCCUUUUUAAGUAGCACACAAUAAAUAAUACUCAUUGUAAGAACAGAUUUACUUUGGCCUGAGGGACGACCGCACAACACACACACAACAAAACAGACGGAUACAAAAGAAGCAACAAUUCCUGUUAGAUAGAAAACAAAAGUUCUGUUUCCGCCGGGUUUAAACUGCUCUGCCGGGGAGGUCUGGGGGUGCAACCGAGCAAGGUAGGCGAACCUCUUCAGCCACUCUCAACCAGCGUGUGUGUGUGUGUGUGUGUGUGUGUGUGUGUGUCGUCAGCAGCAAAUUGGCCAUCAGACGAGCGGAUGGACGUCACCAGCAGGAUCGGUGGCUUUUAAAACCCAUAAACCGCUAAAACGCUGCUCUCUGCACACUGACAGUUAGCGUGUUCCAGUUUAACACACACAGACACACACACAGGUACACACACAGGUAUACACAGACACACAGGUACACACACAGGUAUACACAGACACACAGGUACACACACACAGGUAUACACAGACACACACAGGUACACACACACACACAGGUACACACAGGUACACACCGGUAUACACAGACACACACAGGUACACACACACAGGUACACACAGGUAUACACAGACACACACAGGUACACACAGGCACACACAGACAGACACAGACACACACGCUUGUGAAGGCCCUCUCUCAUAUCUCCAUCUGGAUGAUUUUCCUCUGAUCCCUGUCAUGACAUUUGGUUCUCAUACGUGUAGGAAAUCCAGAGCAGGCGCGCACGUCAACGCAGCACCACCAUCAGCUCCUCCACCCUCAACUCUGCACUCUGUCAUCUGGAACAAUAAUAAACAAUGGCAGAGGAAAUCUAAAAACCUGCUGAAAUCUAUUACAAGGGAACAGUGUGGUUAUAAGGCAGCGGGGGCCGGGGGGCCGGGGGGGGGGGCGGGCACUUCUACAUCAGUGUAAUUCCCUGUGCCAGCUGAUCCGGGCCAGGCUCGCCACAAACACUUAUCUGAUCCUUACGGGUGGUCCGACCAGCGCCGCCAUGUUACUCAACCUCACAGAUCGGGGUCUUCUCUUCCCACGUGGAUUCAGCACCGUAAAUACAUCUAUCCAGAUAUCCACCCGUAAAUACCUUUAUCCAGAUAUACGCACGUAAAUACAUCUAUCCAGAUAUACGCACGUAAAUACAUCUAUCCAGAUAUACGCACGUAAAUACAUCUAUCCAGAUAUACACACGUAAACACAUCUAUCCAGAUAUACGCACGUAAAUACAUCUAUCCAGAUAUACGCACGUAAAUACAUCUAUCCAGAUAUACACACGUAAAUACAUCUAUCCUGAUAUACAC